UGUGAGAGUACGGGCAGUGACAUUGAAUCCAUUUUGAAGUUGGGGUUGGAACCGGUUCAGGGAACAGAACAGAAAAAAUAACUACAUUUUUGAGGAACAGAAUCAGAACUGGGAACGAAGGUGAUCUAUACAGUUCCGGAACAGAACCAUUAUUUUAAAAGCUUGGGAAACGGUUAAUCAUGUUAUUUUAGUCCCUGGCAUGUUUUUUUCAGUCCCACAAAAAACGCAACAAAGUACCUAUACAAAGCCCUGACUCUGUCACUCAGAAACAUAUUCCAGUGCCUGUCUGUCAGAUGGAAAUAUUUUAUAGUCUGUUUAUGCUACCUGCCUCACCCCCUGCGAAGGAUAGGUUACUGUAUCCUACUGGCGAAGUUACAAGCGUGAUUCAGAAAUUAGGGAGAGAUUUUUAAUUAGAGAAUAAUUUAUUAACUUUUUCACUGCUAGUUAAGGAUACUAUAGUUAUCACAUUUCACAUUUGAUUUAUUAACUACAAAAAGGUAAGAUGUAUAUUUUAUUCUGGUGCUGCUCUGCACACACAAGCUUGUUAGCUAGCUAGCUAUCUUGCUAACAAUAGCUCUAGUCCAUUGUUAAGGCAACUCUCAGAAGUUCAAAGACAUUCAAAGUUACUUCAUAGAAGCCGCUCAUCUGUAGAUAUAAUUCUGUGGGCCUAAUUCAGAUAAUGCAUAGCAUAACAAGAUUCUUAGUGCUUCAAGCCAAGCCUCAUCCUCCCUCUCUUGCUCUCUCCCCACCCACAAAAUGUAAGUCUCAUCUUGCUCUGUACACUUUUCUGUCUAUCACACAUAUAAACCACUAGGCUAUUGCUUGCCAACUCCAUAGUAAGCUGCUCUAUCAGCACUGAUUAGUGGUUAUUUAAUGUUGAGCUAAAUGUAAAAAAAUAUAUAUAAAAAAUCUUAGGUUUAAAAAGGAAUAGAAAGGAACGACAUAAACAGGUACUUUUUGGGGGGGCUCUAAACGGUUCAGAACCGUUUUUUUUGCUAGGUUGAAAAAAAUAUGGUUCUGUUCAGAAUGUAAAAAUUGACAAUAAUUUUGGUUCCAACCCCUGUUUUGAAGUAGUCAAUAAUCUUCUUAUUUUACUACUUCUUAUGAGAUGGCAAAGAAACUGAAAAGGUGCACACAGUCCUGGAGUGUGUUGUUUGAACAGGUAUAAAGCCAAGGUUGGCGAUUUAGUGCCACCUGCAGUUAUGGAGUGUUUGUGCACGAGUAUAGUUCAUUGGCUGAUACCUACUGGUGACCUGGAUGAAGAAGUCUCAACCCAGUUGACUACUUCAAAAUGGUGAAAGUCAUCAUGCUAAAACAGGGGUUUGGGCACUAGAGUUCUCUAUCUAUCUCUAUGCUACAGACAGACACACAGAUAAUUAUAUUUUAUCAAAUCAAUUGUUACUCUGUUACAAAAAGCUUUCAUUCCAAAGAUAAUGUCAAAUAAACAGUUAAAAACAACGCAUACAACUCGUUGCAUGCUUCUGAUCCAUGUUCUCAUUUUCUUAUUGGAAUAGCAUAAACUUUUUUUUAUUUUUAUUCACUAUACGGCGGCAGGGUAGCCUAGUGGUUAGAGAGUUGGACUAGUAACUGGAAGGUUGCAAGUUCAAACCCCCCGAGCUGACAAGGUACAAAUCUGUCGUUCUGCCCCUGAACAGGCAGUUAACCCACUGUUCCUAGGCCGUCAUUGAAAAUAAGAAUUUGUUCUUAACUGACUUGCCUAGUUAAAUAAAGGAAAAAAUAAAUAAAUACAAAAUUAUCAACAAUCUUGUUGAUAGUGCUGUUAAGAAGGUACAAUUAAACAUGUCUAGCAAAAUGAAACAAGGGUAUAAAUAAGAAAAUACAGAAUACCUCUCAUAAAUACAAGUAGUGAUGAAGUCAAUCUCUCCUCCACUUUCAGCCAGGUUGACAUUAAUAUUAGCUCUCUGUGUACAUCAAAGGGCCAGCCGUGCUGCCCUGUUCUGAGACAAUUGCAAUUUUCCUAAGUCCUUUUUUGUGGCACCUGACCACACGACUGAACAGUAGUCAAGGUGCGACAAAACUGGGGCCUGUAGGACCUGCCUUGUUGAUAGUGCUGUUAAGAAGGUAGAAGGUUUAGGGUUUAGUGAAUGAUUUUUCCCAAAUACAAUGCUUUUAGUUUCAGAAAUAUUUAGGUCUAACUUAUUCCUUGCCACUCACUCUGAAACUAACUGCAACUCUUUGUUAAGUGUUGCAGUCAUUUCAGUCGCUGUAGUAGCUGACAUGUAUAGUUUUGAGUCAUUCGCAUACAUAGACACUCUCGCUUUUUAUCAAAGCCAGUGGCAUGUCAUUAGUAAAUAGUGAAAAAGUAAUGAGCCUAGACAGCUGCCCUGGGGAAUUCCUGAUUCUGGAGAGGAGAGGCUUGGAGAGGCUUCCAUUAAAGAACACCUUCUGUGUUCUGUUGGACAGGUAACUCUUUAUCCACGAUAUAGGAGGGGGUGUAAAGCCAUAACACACGUUUUUUCAGCUGCAGACUAUGAACGAUAAUGUCAAAAGCCGCACUGAAGUCUAACAAAACAGCUCCCACAAUCUUUUAUCAUCAAUUUAUCCCAGCCAAUCAUCAGUCAUUUGUGUAAGCGCUGUGCUUGUUGAAUGUCCUUCCCCUAUAAGCAAGCUGAAAGUCUGUUGUCAAUUUGUUUAUUUUAAAAUAGCAUUGUAUCUGGUCAAACACAAUUUUUUCCCAAAAAGUUUAUUAAGGGUUGGUAACAGGCUGAUUGGUCAACUAUUUGAGCCAGUAAAGGGGCUUUACCAUUCUUAGGUAGCGGAAUGACUUUUGCUUCCCUCCAAGCCUGAGGGCAAACACAUUCUAGUGGCUUAAAUUGACGUCAUGACUUGACCUUGUUUUUUUCCGAGUCCCUGUUGUCUUGAAAGCACCAUCAUUACUACUACUUAACCAGAGUUGGAUGACCACUCAAAACGAUUUUUCCCAGUCUGAGCUCAUUUCUUUUCAAGUUCCCAUUUGUCUUGAAAGCACUGAAGUCGGGAAGUCGUAGAUUUCCGAGUUUCCAAUUCCCAGUAGUUUUGAAUGUGGCAUUAGAUGGGAGUUUCUGACUGGUCUUGGAACUGUGACAACAGGCAGCCUCUCCCCGCUUUGCUCAAUGAGAUAUAUAGUGAUUCUACCCUCAACUGACUAUUGUAUAUGUUGAUUAAAUCAGACUUUAAUAAUAUAAUGAGUAAUUCAGGAAUGUCACGACUUAAGUGACACAAGAAAACUAGUUAAAAUAGCAACUCUACAGAUCGCAAUCUUCUUCUUCUUCUGUGGAGUUUAACAGGGGUUGGCAUCCAACAAGUUGCAUUAUGUCCCCAACUGAACUAUAGUAUCAGUUCAUUACACUUUGUGAUACAAAAUGGGGAAAUGGGAAAAUGUUUAAAUAUAAUUUUAAUUACCCUACCAACUAACUCUACACUUAAAACUGGUCUGCUAAUGCAGGACGAUUAGGCCCGGUGCUUUUGUGAUUUUUUUUGUUAAAUUUAUAUAUAUUUUUUAUUCCGAUUUUUCAGAGGUUGCUGCAGCACCCUCAGAACCCCUACUUCCCACGGCUAUGCCCUAAUUCUAUUACUUUAACCCGAUCUGAUCCUACCCCAGGCCAACGACCUGAGAGGACGGGACACUACCACUCAACACACCCUCUAACUCUUCUGAAGUCAAAUAUCGUACCCCCAGAUCUACUAUUCACAGGAAUCCUCUCAGAAUCCCUCACCCUUCAUCCAACCUACACUACUUUCUUCACUGCCUCAGCAUACAACAUCUUCUGCUCUACUCUGACCCUGGCCACCUCAACCUGCCUCUCUCGCACCGGACACCUCUGAUCCCAGCAACAUGGACACCCUUACAGUUGACAAAUCAAAUCGAAUUGUAUUGGUCACAUACACAUGUUUAGCAGAUGUUAUUGCGAGUGUAGCGAAAUGCUUGUGCUUCUAGUUCCGACAGUGCAGCAAUAUCUAACAUGUAAUCUAACAAUUCCGCAACAAAUACCUAAUACACACAAAUCUAAGUAAGGAACGUAUUCAUAUAAAUAUAUGGAUGAGCAAUGACAGAGUGGCAUAGGCAAUCUGCAAAAUAUGGUAUAAAAUACAGUAUAUACAUAUGAGAUGAGUAAUGCAAGAUAUUUAAACAUUAUUAGCCCGACCAACCAGUGCCUCCGCACAUUGGCUAACCGGGCUAUCGGCAUUGUGUCCCGCCACCCGCCAAACCCUCUUUUAUGCUACUGCUACUCUCUGUUUAUCAUAUAUGCAUAGUCACUUUAACCAUAUCUACAUGUACAUACUACCUCAAUCAGCCUGACUAAACAGUGUCUGUAUGUAGCCUCGUUACUGUUAUAGCCUUGCUACUGUAUACAGCCUCGCUACUGUUAUUUUUCACUGUCUUCCUACCUAUCUCUCUGAUUUGGUCCUGCCGUAAAUACCUACACGUACGCUACGGUCACAAGACGUAGGCCUCCUAAUUGUCCCUAGAAUUUCUAAGCAAACAGCUGGAGGCAGGGCUUUCUCCUAUAGAGCUCCAUUUCUAUGGAACGGUCUGCCUACCCAUGUCAGAGACGCAAACUCGGUCUCAACCUUUAAGUCUUUACUGAAGACUCAUCUCUUCAGUGGGUCAUAUGAUUGAGUGUAGUCUGGCCCAGGAGUGGGAAGGUGAACGGAAAGGCUCUGGAGCAACGAACCCGCCCUUGCUGUCUCUGCCUGUCCGGUUCCCCUCUUUCCACUGGGAUUCUCUGCCUCUAACCCUAUUACAGUGGCUGAGUCACUGGCUUACUGGGGCUCUCUCAUGCUGUCCCUGGAAGGGGUGCGUCACCUGAGUGGGUUGAUUCACUGAUGUGGUCAUCCUGUCUGGGUUGGCGCCCCCCCUUGGGUUGUGCCAUGGCGGAGAUCUUUGUGGGCUAUACUCAGCCUUGUCUCAGGAUGGUAAGUUGGUGGUUGAAGAUAUCCCUCUAGUGGUGUGGGGGCUGUGCUUUGGCAAAGUGGGUGGGGUUAUAUCCUUCCUGUUUGGCCCUGUCCGGGGGUGUCCUCGGAUGGGGCCACAGUGUCUCCUGACCCCUCCUGUCUCAGCCUCCAGUAUUUAUGCUGCAGUAGUUUAUGUGUCGGGGGGCUAGGGUCAGUUUGUUAUAUCUGGAGUACUUCUCCUGUCCUAUUCGGUGUCCUGUGUGAAUCUAAGUGUGCGUUCUCUAAUUCUCUCCUUCUCUCUUUCUUUCUCUCUCUCGGAGGACCUGAGCCCUAGGACCAUGCCCCAGGACUACCUGACAUGAUGACUCCUUGCUGUCCUCAGUCCACCUGGCCGUGCUGCUGCUCCAGUUUCAACUGUUCUGCCUUAUUAUUAAUCGACCAUGCUGGUCAUUUAUGAACAUUUUAACAUCUUGGCCAUGUUCUGUUAUAAUCUCCACCCGGCACAGCCAGAAGAGGACUGGCCACCCCAGCUGUACAUAAUCUAUUGAGGACCUGAGCCCUAGGACCAUGCCCCAGGACUACCUGACAUGAUGACUCCUUGCUGUCCCCAGUCCACCUGACCAUGCUGCUGCUCCAGUUUCAACUGUUCUGCCUUAUUAUUAUACGACCAUGCUGGUCAUUUAUGAACAUUUGAACAUCUUGGCCAUGUUCUGUUAUAAUCUCCACCCGGCACAGCCAGAAGAGGACUGGCCACCCCACAUAGCCUGGUUCCUCUCUAGGUUUCUUCCUAGGUUUUGGCCUUUCUAGGGAGUUUUUCCUAGCCACCGUGCUUCUACACCUGCAUUGCUUGCUGUUUGGGGUUUUAGACUGGGUUUCUGUACAGCACUUUGAGAUAUCAGCUGAUGUACGAAGGGCUAUAUAAAUACAUUUGAUUUGAUUUGAUUUGUUGUUUUUAUUUCUUUACUUACCUAUUGUUCACCUAAUACCUUUAUUUUAUUUUAUUUUUUAAAUUGCACUGUUGGUAAGUAAGCACUUCACUGUAAGGUCUACACCUGUUGUAUUCGGCGCACAUGACAAAUACACUUUGAUUGUUGAAGUUCCAGUGAUCCAUUUAUAACUUUUCCCACCAAAACGACACAUUCCUCAGUCCCAUAUCCUCCUGCACACUUCCCACAUCUUAGAAUCUCCCUCCUACACACUGCUGUGACAUGCCCAUAAAUCUGGCACCUAUAACACGGCAGUGUAUUCGGCACAAAAGCUCUAACAGCAUAACUCCCCACAGAAUGUGCAUCGCAGCAAAUGGCGGGCAUCACAAACACCAGGAAUCUUCAACUUAAAUUGAUCGCCCCUCACACUUAACACUACCCCAGAAAUCACUCCCUUCAAUGGUGCCAUGUACUGAAACACAAAGCAAGAUACAGGUCUUUCCCCAAGUUACGUCACAUGGAGCACCUGCUCCCUCUAAUCUGAAGAAACACCAACAAACAUCACAAAAGGCCUGGUCCCACCCUCUUCAAAACUCCCACUCCCACUGGACCAAACAUAUCUUUAUCAUGACCAUGACCAUCGAUGCAAGGCUCGGGCACCAAGUUCCUCACAACACCUUCUACCCCUUCCAUUUCAUCUCCAGAGCUCGAACUGGGGUCCGGCUCACUCUGUUUAAACCUGACACCAAUCUUCCUCAAUAUACCCACCCUCUCCCUUGUUAUUUCUAGCUUCAACAGAUUGAAACCUAUCCUCUGCCUCACUCAAUCUUUUCAACCUCCAAUCCACCUCUAACCAAUUACCCAACUCCUGAAAAUAUUCAACUUUUCCAUGCCAAAAUCCAUUUUUAGCCUCCUCGAGAGACAUGCUAGACCAUGUACUCCCUCCACUUUUAUUUUUAUUUAACCUUUUUUAACUAGACAAGUCAGUUAAGAACAAAUUAUUAUUUACAAUGACGGCCUACCCUGGCCAAACCCUAACCCAGACGACGCUGGGCCAAUUGUGCGCUGCCCUAUGGGACUCCCAAUCACGGCCGUUGUGAUACAGCUUGGAAUCGAACCAGGGUCUGUAGUGACACCUCUAGCAUUGAGAUGCAGUGCCUUAGACCGCUACGCCACUCUCAGUUUGACGUUCCAAACCAUCUAAAGAUUGCCAUCACUACAAUGAAUGGCUAAAUUACUUCAGGACACGAAGGGUCCACAGAACGUCUCCUGACCGCUCUAUCACAUAUCAAUCAAUCAAUGUUACAAAGUGCUUAUAUAACCACAAAGAGCAAGCAAUGCAGAUGUACUUUGACCAAAGACAGUACAGUAUAAAGAUAGACAAAAACUGCUUUUCCAAUAGAAAUCCCAGAUCACACUUGUAUGCGAUGUCAUGGCGACGUUGGCUAGCUAAUCUCAUGUGCAGAAACAUGUCAUCGGGUCAACAGUAACUGUUAUCUCGCUCCAAACUGUGCAUGUGCAGGCCGCCAAAUCAAAGAAACUCCUUAGAUAAAAAGUUGAU
Long non-coding RNA from Oncorhynchus nerka (sockeye salmon), 7383 nucleotides. RefSeq lists it as uncharacterized. The transcript has 3 exons. Lineage: Eukaryota; Metazoa; Chordata; Actinopteri; Salmoniformes; Salmonidae. The record is from RefSeq and is a predicted model, not a curated record.